AGAGUUUGAUCAUGGCUCAGGAUGAACGCUAGCUACAGGCUUAACACAUGCAAGUCGAGGGGAAACGACAUCGAAAGCUUGCUUUUGAUGGGCGUCGACCGGCGCACGGGUGAGUAACGCGUAUCCAACCUGCCCACCACUUGGGGAUAACCUUGCGAAAGUAAGACUAAUACCCAAUGACGUCUCUAGAAGACAUCUGAAAGAGAUUAAAGAUUUAUCGGUGAUGGAUGGGGAUGCGUCUGAUUAGCUUGGUUGGCGGGGUAACGGCCCACCAAGGCGACGAUCAGGUAGGGGUUCUGAGAGGAACGGUCCCCCANAUUGGAACUGAGACACGGUCCAAACUCCGUACGGGAGGCA
Molecule: ribosomal RNA, 357 nt
Filed under: uncultured bacterium
Lineage: Bacteria
Description: bacterial SSU rRNA
Rfam family: Bacterial small subunit ribosomal RNA
Source: RNAcentral